RNAcentral lists this ribosomal RNA (549 nucleotides) under uncultured bacterium. RNAcentral's name for it is "partial 16S ribosomal RNA". It matches the Rfam family "Bacterial small subunit ribosomal RNA", at positions 355 to 895 of the family's 1533-position model. The record is from RNAcentral.
UGGGGAAUUUUGGACAAUGGGCGCAAGCCUGAUCCAGCCAUGCCGCGUGCGGGAAGAAGGCCUUCAGGUUGUAAACCGCUUUUGUCAGGGAAGAAAUCUUCUGAGUUAAUACCUCGGGAGGAUGACGGUACCUGAAGAAUAAGCACCGGCUAACUACGUGCCAGCAGCCGCGGUAAUACGUAGGGUGCAAGCGUUAAUCGGAAUUACUGGGCGUAAAGCGUGCGCAGGCGGUUUUGUAAGACAGAGGUGGAAUCCCCGGGCUCAACCUGGGAACUGCCUUUGUGACUGCAAGGCUUGAGUGCGGCAGAGGGGGAUGGAAUUCCGCGUGUAGCAGUGAAAUGCGUAGAUAUGCGGAGGAACACCGAUGGCGAAGGCAAUCCCCUGGGCCUGCACUGACGCUCAUGCACGAAAGCGUGGGGAGCAAACAGGAUUAGAUAGCCCUGGUAGUCCACGCCCUAAAACGAUGUCAACUGGUUGUUGGGAAGGUUCCUUCUCAGUAACGUAGCUAACGCGUGAAGUUGACCGCCUGGGGAGUACGGCCGCAAGGUU